Molecule: ribosomal RNA, 433 nt
Filed under: uncultured bacterium
Lineage: Bacteria
Description: bacterial SSU rRNA
Rfam family: Bacterial small subunit ribosomal RNA
Source: RNAcentral
ACGAACGCUGGCGGCAGGCCUAACACAUGCAAGUCGAACGCUCGUAGCAAUACGGGAGUGGCGCACGGGUGAGUAACGCGUGGGCACCUACCCGGUGGUACGGAAUAACCGCGGGAAACUGCGGCUAAUACCGUAUAAGCCCCUAGGGGGAAAGAUUUAUCGCCAUCGGAUGGGCCCGCGUAGGAUUAGCUAGUUGGUGAGGUAACGGCUCACCAAGGCGACGAUCCUUAGCUGGUCUGAGAGGAUGAUCAGCCACACUGGGACUGAGACACGGCCCAGACUCCUACGGGAGGCAGCAGUGGGGAAUAUUGGACAAUGGGCGCAAGCCUGAUCCAGCCAUGCCGCGUGAGUGAAGAAGGCCUUCGGGUUGUAAAGCUCUUUUGGCGGGGACGAUGAUGACGGUACCCGCAGAAUAAGCCCCGGCUAACUUCGU